GACGAACGCUGGCGGCGUGCUUAACACAUGCAAGUCGAACGGAAAGGCCCUGCUUUUGUGGGGUGCUCGAGUGGCGAACGGGUGAGUAACACGUGAGUAACCUGCCCUUGACUUUGGGAUAACUUCAGGAAACUGGGGCUAAUACCGGAUAGGAGCUCCUGCUGCAUGGUGGGGGUUGGAAAGUUUCGGCGGUUGGGAUGGACUCGCGGCUUAUCAGCUUGUUGGUGGGGCAGUGGCUUACCAAGGCUUUGACGGGUAGCCGGCCUGAGAGGGUGACCGGCCACAUUGGGACUGAGAUACGGCCCAGACUCCUACGGGAGGCAGCAGUGGGGAAUAUUGCACAAUGGGCGGAAGCCUGAUGCAGCAACGCCGCGUGCGGGAUGACGGCCUUCGGGUUGUAAACCGCUUUCGCCUGUGACGAAGCGUGAGUGACGGUAAUGGGUAAAGAAGCACCGGCUAACUACGUG
Molecule: ribosomal RNA, 467 nt
Filed under: uncultured bacterium
Lineage: Bacteria
Description: partial 16S ribosomal RNA
Rfam family: Bacterial small subunit ribosomal RNA
Source: RNAcentral